Molecule: non-coding RNA, 5641 nt
Organism: Lactuca sativa (garden lettuce)
Lineage: Eukaryota; Viridiplantae; Streptophyta; Magnoliopsida; Asterales; Asteraceae
Source: RefSeq, a predicted model, not a curated record
GGGGGGCUGUUAGUAGAGACGCAGGGUUUAUUAGCGGGCUGGCCAUGAAGAGAGCGGCCAAUGCUGUUGAUUUGAUGGGCCUUCUUCCAUAACUAUGUGACUCGCAUAGUGAGCACCUUUUUCUUCGAUCAUGUAUGGGAAUUGCAAAACUUUUCUUUGCUUUAAGGACAUGCCAGCCGAUACACAUAGAAGAGGCAGCUUUGUUCUUUGCAAAGGAUUGCGCAGGUCUAUCAAGGAUAUGGUGGUAUGUGGAGGCCCCUUCUUUGGAGACAUUCAGUGGCGUCUGUCUUCCUUACCUAUUCGUUUUGAUGGUUUGGGUUUGUACUCGGCAUACGAGGUUUCCUCCUAUGCAUUUGUAGCCUCGAGGGCCCAAUCUUGGGCAUUACAAGACCACGUCUUACGUGACAGUGGUGUAUGUGGUAUGGACUCGGAUUACCUAUGUGCUAUGACUCAUCUUCGCGACACGAUUCUGGGAUUUGACUGUAGCGAUUUCACUAAUAAGGACACCGCCUCCCCCCCCUUAAAUCCCAAAAAGCUUUGGCGUGUGCCCUUUUUAGCAAAAUCGUCCAAGAUAUGGAAGUCGAAUUUGACAUGACUGUCAGACAUAAAGCAGUCUUUGAGGGUCUGCGGGCACCUCAUGGUUAGGAUUUUCUACUAACUAUCCCUAUUGAUGGUCUUGGCCAACAUAUGUCUCCUGUGGAGUACCAAACUAUCCUUCGGUACCGCCUCAUGAUUCCUAUAUUCCCAACUGACGAGAUAUGCCCAGUUUUCCGCAAGGCAUGUUUGGAUACCUUUGGGGAACACGCAGUUCAUUGUAGAGAGCUCCCUAGUUUCAAGUACAUACAUGAUGUGGUUCGGGAUGUUCUCUUUGAUGCUUGUCGGCAUGCUGGUAUUUCUGUGAAGAAAGAAGCGCCGAUGAACUUUUUGACGGACCCGCUGGAUGGAAGGUCCACACUUAGACCGGCUGACAUUUUGGUCUUUGGAUGGAUAGGAGGGAAGCAUGCAUGCGUGGGUCACUGGAUCUUAUUGGGGUCUCUCCUCUCAUUGGUUUGGGGAGCAGGGGUUUCACAGCUGGACAUGCCGCUUUUAAUGCCGCUGCAUGCAAAGUUGUAAAGCACGAGAAUGCAUGUAUAGAAAAUCAACAUGUGUUUGUACCUUUUGCAUUCGAUACAUUUGGUUUUCUCGCACCAGAGGCGGUGGAGCUCCUCAAUAGAGUCCAACAUGUCAUGCAUUCUAAUGCCAUAGCUCCUAGAUCCACAAAUAUUGUUUUCAAAAGAAUUGGUUUUGCUAUCCAGAAAGGGCUAGCGGUGCAGCUUGUUGCCCGUUUGCCUUCAAUCGAUAUGUAUUGAACCUUUAUGUUAUUUGAAUAUUGACUAUUGAUUUCAGAUGAGCAUCUCCAAAUUUGAUUCUAAGUCGACUCAGAUGGUGAAAUCGAUCAAGAAUAAGAAAAAUAAAGACGACUUAAUUUUGAUUGGCUCGAUUUGGAUGUUGACGAUGAGAACAAGAUAUCAAUCAUCAAACGAAAGCCAUCUGACAAAGACAAUAAGAACCGAUCGACAAAAGUAACAGACUCAAAUGAUUUAGGCUAAACAAAAAUUAAAAGAAAUCGAAUUGGUCUGUUGAUAUGAACAGUAAUUACUUCGAAAAUGUGAGCUUAAUGAACAAUUAAAUGAAUAACAAUUGGAUUGGGUUGUAUAAUCGAAUAAAUAGUAAAAAUUGAGAAUUAAUUUUGAUUUUUAGGAUUUUGAUCUAAAGAAAAAUAAUUGGAUCAAGCAAUGAGGUUGAAACAGAUCUGAUCCAAUGAGACAAAGCGAUCAAAAAUGAAAAACGCAAAACACGAAUUGAAAUCAUGGACGUUUUGGAAUCCAUUUAAGAAUUUGAGAUACCUUUUUGAUGAUCCGAGUUCCAUUUGCAACGAAUGAAUCAAAUUUAGAAGAUCUUGGUUCUUUUGUUGGAAUGAGAAAAUAUCCAACUUGAACAUUAUACCACCCACGAUGCGUGUUGUACAACUCAUUGUUCGUGUUCUUCAACGAUCUUAGAACAUAUUCAUAAGAACCAUCAACACUUUUGGAUUUUGACUUCAAAUUCAGUGCAACACUUGGAGAUUGUUGCUUUGGAACCCAAAUUUGCUUCAUGGAUUUCGGAUUCACAACAAUAUUUGACGAUUUUUGUUAGUAAACCCACUUGUUUUUACGUUUGAUCUUCUUCUUCUUUUUCCUUUUCACCUUCUUGGAACUUGAAGAUUUGAAUUCAUGAACAAACCUAUUUUCCACAACUUCAAGUUGACAAGUUUUGAUCAUAUCUUUUGGAUUUUGAUACUUGUGAAUUUCUUAGAUUAAUGGCUUUCGAUAAGGAAUCGUUCCUUCAAAUGAAUCACAAGAACAAAAAAUAUCAUCGAUUUGAAUUCCAAUCGAGCAAAAAACUUUUUCAUCUUCAUGAGAAUCAAAUUGAACUCCUUUUUCUUGAACAUCAAGAAUAUCUGGGUAAGAAUCAAGAACAUUCACUACUAGAAAACAACUUUUAACGACACGUAAAAAACGAAACACACUGAUAGAGGAAACGCAUUUGUGCGUGCCCUAAAAAAUAGUGUCAGUUUUGCAAAAUUUGAAGGAUAGAGGACACGCAUUUGUUGGUGCCCUAAAAUUAGCGUCCAACAAAAAAAAUUUAAAAUAUAGAGGGCACCUAUCCUAAAAAGCAUGUCGUGUUAUCAUGUUGUUUUGUAAUUUUACUCUAUGAACGCGCAUUCUCGAUUUUUUAAUAGCUAGGGGGAAACGAAAUCCAAAAAAUUAAAAACCCCGCCUGUUGCGUCUCCUCCUUCUCCUUUGGUAUGAUGUAAAAUCCUCUAACCAUGAAGCCCUAAAAGCAUUGUGUGGCUUUCAAUAUUUCUCCAUUUUGUAUUUUUGGAGCUCAGCACCAGCCAUACAGAGGUCAAAGGUGGCAAAUAUUCUCUUUUAUCCACCAUUUUCUCCCCCUCAGAUGUCUUUAUUUCCCUAAUCGUUAUUGUAACUGUGAAAAUCUCUAACUUGUAGCUUUAAUUUAAACUUUAAGUUGUUCUAGGUUUAUGGUGAACCAUAGUAAGAACACAUACUGGAUAUGGGAUACGAUUUCAUAUCGAACGCUUGGGGAACAUGUCUUGGAUUAGAAGAUCCAACGAUUUCAAAAUUGAACUGAACUUACCUUUAUUCGCGUAUCUGGAACAUAGGAACGACGAUUUAGAUCGCUGAUUGAAGUUUGGGAACACUGAUUAAAGUUUAGGAAUGCUGACUUGAACAACAUUUGUGCGUUGGGUACGUCGACUCAAUAUAUGCUAACAAAAUCUCCCAUUUUACAGCAAUUAAUUGUGUAUAUCUUCUGGUAACAAAAUCUCUCUCCCUCUCCCUCUCCACCCUCUCUGUUUUUCUUGUAAACGAAGAUGAAGAUGAGAAAUCGGACACUAACAGAGCGGGUCUAAGAUAUCGUCUCUUAGAAGUUCUGACCAUGAGGAAAAACAGGAAACAGAGCAUUGUGAAAGAUGGGUACGAACCCUUUGCAGACGAAGAUGAAGAUGAGAAAUUGGACACAGAAAGAGCGGUUUCGGUGGAGAUUUUUUGUUAGAGAAACAGGGGAAAACGUCGGUUGAAGAAAAAUGGUUGUAACUCACAGGAUUCGUUGGUUGUAUGUGGUGGUUAUAUCAUGUUGAUGAUAUUGAGCUUUCUCGACGCAUACAGUGUGGCUUCAUCGCUUGUUGUUUCUCAUAGAUGGCGUAGAGUUGCUUCCAGUGAUACCAUUUGGUCUGAAAAGGUUGACACACUUAUUCCAACUUACUUCUACUUUCUUCUUUUUUGUUUCUUAAAAUACUAUAUUUGUUAACUUUUUUGACCUUAUGAUAAGUUUAGUGUGUUUGAUAUUAUUUAUGUACGAGCCCCAUAAAUUUUGGUAAUCAUCAAGAUUUUCCUUUUCGAAAGUGUUGUUGUUGUGAAUAACGUUUGUAGUGCUUGGUAUAAGAUAAUUGCGUGUAUCCUUCCCUUGUUGGUAAUUACUAAUCUGUAGCUUGUUUUCAUUAGUAAGUUAUGAAGAGCAAAGUAAUGGCAAGUUUAUAACAAUACUAUGGAGGUUAUAUUCAGAAACUGCAAAGUUGUAUGUAGGACAUGAUUGUUACAUGGAUAAAGAUGAUGACCCUUUUGCACUGUUAAGCUAAAGAUCAUUGAUUUUGAAUCUUUUAAAAUAAGAAUCAUUGGCAUGCAUAUUGGAUCUCAUAUAACUUGUUUGAAUCAUGUCACAGAAUAGUCAUCAUUGGUAGGAUCAUCAACUUAUUUAAAAGACCUAAGUACCCUCUACCUUGCUUAUUUAUUAAAGAGCUAUGGGCUGAUAAAGCUCAUCUACCUCGUUUUGCCCUAGUUGAGGGGUUGUCAAAGUUGUCUGCUUACACCUUACGCAUUCACGAUGGAAAACGGGUAAGACUCUUUAAUAUAUAUUGCCAUAGCAGUAAAAAUGUAAGAAUCAGUAAGUGAGGUCUCAGGUUCAAGUCUGGGUAUAUAUCGAUAAAGGUUUGUAUCUUUCAAAUUACUUUUAUUUCCCAUUGGAUUUGACUUAAAUUGGAAUUCAAUCCCAUGGAAUUCAGUUCCCAACAUUUCCUUCUUAUUAAAAGUGACCCAAAUACCCAUUUUUAAACUCUGAUACAUAUAACAUGAAGUUCUUUUUAUAGGCGUGGGAUGAAGGAACAAGGGCUAAACAGUAUACAUUUGAGGGUCAUGAAGAACCUGUAUAUUCCAUAUGUCCAUAUUUUAAGGAAAAUAUUCAGUUUAUUUUCUCAACAACAACUUAUGGAAACAUAAAGGCAUGGAUAUAUGACAAUAUUGGUUCAAGAGUGGGUUAUGAGAUUCCAUUCCAUUGUGUGUUUAAAUUUUACAAUUCCUUUAAAUUCCAAUUCCUUAAUUUAUUAAUAAUAAUGGCUCAUAACUUUUACCUGCAAGCUUCUCCUUUUAUACGGUUUAACAAGGAAGGAAUUCUAUUAGCUAUUUCAACAAGUGAGAAUGGAAUCAAAAUUAUAGCAAAUCAAUAUGGGGUUAGGUUACUAAGAAUAAUGGAUAAUCGUGCUUUUGAUGACUCCAGAGUUGCAUCUGCAUAUGCCAUGAAGGGACUGACUGCAAUGAUGCCAACAUUUGGUGCUGCUAAUACACCAGGUGGAUAAAGCAUGACGAAAAGUUUGUAGAGCUCUAUAGCAUGUCAGUUCUUGAAAAAUGUAUUGAGUCGACCAUAGCAGCUAAAUAAGCAAGCUCGUACAUUGAAUAAGCAAUAUCUACAAUUAUUGAUCUCAAGGACAGUUUAAAUCAGUGGGACAACAAAGUGGAUGAUGGUGACUGUGGAUCCACAGUUGAUCCUGCUACAUGGCCAAUAAUGAUUUCUAAGGCCUACUAGAAGGAUUGGUGAUUGUAGUUAGGCAUCUAUAUAAGACUUCACGCCAAGGACUUGAUGAAUUUAAGCUAGCAAUGUUUUGCUUGAUUUGGACAUGAAUCCUAAGAUAUCAUACUAUGGCAUGGCUAGAAGCUUUGAAGGAAACAAGACUCAAGCAAAAGCAAACACACUGAGAGUUGUUGGACAUAUUAUUGGAAUAAUUAUUUGUAUUUGACAUAUUAAUGAAAUGCAUUAUCUUUGUUAUUUA